Molecule: long non-coding RNA, 816 nt
Organism: Ctenopharyngodon idella (grass carp)
Lineage: Eukaryota; Metazoa; Chordata; Actinopteri; Cypriniformes; Xenocyprididae
Exons: 3
Source: RefSeq, a predicted model, not a curated record
CGCAAAAUGGCGACUUCGAUGUAAAGGGACCGCGGGGUAUGUAGAUAGAAAUGACUCAUUCUAAGGUAUUACAGGCUUUCCCUGUUUACAAGGACUGGAUCGUUCCUGAAAGCACCAAAAAUUCCCUUGAUCUAAGCCCCAGAUCUGUUUGAAUCCCGCUGUUUCCCGCAGCGGUCCGGCCUGAUGCAGGAGGUUCGCAAUAAUUGGAAAUGGCUUCUCUAGUUUUGGAGACACAAUCAGAUGCUACUUGCAGCUUUAAAGCGGCCGAUGUUGAAGAUCCCGUGCUUGAGAUCAAAACUACAGCGAGAGGAGCAACUUUUCCCAUUUCUUGACACAAUGAAUCGGCAUGACAUCUCCAGCUAACCCGAGGUAACAGGAGCUGACUGCUGUACUAGAGAGACGGACUCUCCACACACAGCUAGUUAUUUCUCCUCUACAUCUCUAGCUCUGCCUCUCUCUCUCUCUCCCUUUGUCUUCUCUUAGCUGCUGUAGUUUUCCACAGCACACUUGCAGUAUGUUACAAGUGAAAAUCCUGCAGCAAAAACCCAGCAGAGACAAAAACAGCCACUCCCCGGACGAGCUCUGUACAAUCCCGACACGCACAUGUACAAAUACACAUGUACUUUAGCCGUGCCAAUGCAGCACUGACAACCUAUAGCGAUCAAUACUUCUUGGCAGCGGAUGCUGAGCGCUGUGAGGAGCCCUAUAGAGGGCUGGGCAGCACGACCACAGUCUUAUAUCAUGAUAUGAGUAAUUUUAUAUCACACUGACUGUAUAUAUCACAAUAUAGUUAUUUUUAAUAAUUCAGUAAUAAUA